GACGAACGCUGGCGGCGUGCUUAACACAUGCAGGUCGAACGGAAAGGCCCUGCUUUUGUGGGGUGCUCGAGUGGCGAACGGGUGAGUAACACGUGAGUAACCUGCCCUUGACUUUGGGAUAACUUCAGGAAACUGGGGCUAAUACCGGAUAGGAGCUCCUGCUGCAUGGUGGGGGUUGGAAAGUUUCGGCGGUUGGGGAUGGACUCGCGGCUUAUCAGCUUGUUGGUGGGGUAGUGGCUUACCAAGGCUUUGACGGGUAGCCGGCCUGAGAGGGUGACCGGCCACAUUGGGACUGAGAGACGGCCCAGACUGCUACGGGAGGCAGCAGUGGGGAAUAUUGCACAAUGGGCGGAAGCCUGAUGCAGCAACGCCGCGUGCGGGAUGACGGCCUUCGGGUUGUAAACCGCUUUCGCCUGUGACGAAGCGUGAGUGACGGUAAUGGGUAAAGAAGCACCGGCUAACUACGUG
Molecule: ribosomal RNA, 468 nt
Filed under: uncultured bacterium
Lineage: Bacteria
Description: partial 16S ribosomal RNA
Rfam family: Bacterial small subunit ribosomal RNA
Source: RNAcentral